RNAcentral lists this ribosomal RNA (733 nucleotides) under Apilactobacillus kunkeei. RNAcentral describes it as "bacterial SSU rRNA". It matches the Rfam family "Bacterial small subunit ribosomal RNA", at positions 47 to 771 of the family's 1533-position model. The record is from RNAcentral. Lineage: Bacteria; Bacillati; Bacillota; Bacilli; Lactobacillales; Lactobacillaceae.
AUUGAUUUUAUGCUUGCAUAAAUGAUUUUUGGAUUCGGAGCGAGUGGCGAACUGGUGAGUAACACGUGGGUAACCUGCCCCGAAGCGGGGGAUAACAUUUGGAAACAAGUGCUAAUACCGCAUAAUUAGUUGGAACCGCAUGGUUCCAACUUGAAAGAUGGCUCUGCUAUCACUUUGGGAUGGACCCGCGCCGUAUUAGUUAGUUGGUGAGAUAAAAGCCCACCAAGACGAUGAUACGUAGCCGACCUGAGAGGGUAAUCGGCCACAUUGGGACUGAGACACGGCCCAGACUCCUACGGGAGGCAGCAGUAGGGAAUCUUCCACAAUGGACGAAAGUCUGAUGGAGCAACGCCGCGUGAGUGAUGAAGGUUUUCGGAUCGUAAAACUCUGUUGUUAAAGAAGAACAAGUGUUAGAGUAACUGUUAACACUUUGACGGUAUUUAACCAGAAAGCCACGGCUAACUACGUGCCAGCAGCCGCGGUAAUACGUAGGUGGCAAGCGUUGUCCGGAUUUAUUGGGCGUAAAGCGAGCGCAGGCGGUUUUGUAAGUCUGCUGUGAAAGCCCUCAGCUCAACUGAGGAAGUGCAGUGGAAACUACAAAACUUGAGUACAGAAGAGGAAAGUGGAACUCCAUGUGUAGCGGUGAAAUGCGUAGAUAUAUGGAAGAACACCAGUGGCGAAGGCGGCUUUCUGGUCUGUUACUGACGCUGAGGCUCGAAAGCAUGGGUAGCGA